This 222-nucleotide long non-coding RNA is filed under the name Elaeis guineensis (African oil palm). RNAcentral's name for it is "long non-coding RNA (EGUI_LNC059569)". The record is from RNAcentral. Lineage: Eukaryota; Viridiplantae; Streptophyta; Magnoliopsida; Arecales; Arecaceae.
AAGUGGUCCAGCUUCUUACACUCAUAACAAAUGACGGGCUAUUCUUUUUCUUUUUCUUUACUCGGCUCUCUCUUAAUUGAUGGUCUUCUUUUGGUCCCUUGUCUUCUUUUCUUCAUAAAUUGUCUGAAUUUUCUUGUAAUCAAUGCCAAAUCCUCAUCUUCUUCAUUAUUUUCUGAUUUUUCUGAAUCUUCUUCUUCUUGAGCCAUUGAUUUGAGGGCAAUU